This 253-nucleotide ribosomal RNA is filed under the name uncultured bacterium. RNAcentral describes it as "partial 16S ribosomal RNA". It matches the Rfam family "Bacterial small subunit ribosomal RNA", at positions 524 to 776 of the family's 1533-position model. The record is from RNAcentral.
UACAGAGGUCCCAAGCGUUGUUCGGAUUCACUGGGCGUAAAGGGUGCGUAGGUGGCGGGGUAAGUUUGAUGUGAAAUCUCCGGGCUUAACCCGGAAACUGCAUUGAAUACUAUUCUGCUCGAGGUUUGGAGGGGGGACUGGAAUUCUCGGUGUAGCAGUGAAAUGCGUAGAUAUCGAGAGGAACACCAGUGGCGAAGGCGAGUCCCUGGACAACUCCUGACACUGAGGCACGAAAGCUAGGGGAGCAAACAGG